Small nuclear RNA from Suricata suricatta (meerkat), 104 nucleotides. The record is from Ensembl. NCBI's taxonomy places the organism in Eukaryota, Metazoa, Chordata, Mammalia, Carnivora, Herpestidae.
GUAAUUUCUGCAGGACACAUACUAAAAUUGGAAUGAUACAGAGCAGAGUUGCAUUGCCCAUGCUCAAGAAUGACAUGCAAGUUCAUGAAGUGUUCCAUAUUUUA